Long non-coding RNA from Dermochelys coriacea (leatherback sea turtle), 301 nucleotides. RefSeq lists it as uncharacterized. NCBI's taxonomy places the organism in Eukaryota, Metazoa, Chordata, Testudines, Dermochelyidae. The transcript has 3 exons. The record is from RefSeq and is a predicted model, not a curated record.
GUCCCUCCAUCCCAUGUCAUCCUCUCCUUGGUGCCCAAGGCAGGACCCCCCCUCACUAAAUGCCUUCCUCAUUUUUCACAGUGGUUUCUCUUGUGAUGCUCAUCCAAAUUCUCCACCAUCAAGCCUGGGGUGAUUUGACUGGACGCAACAAGGAGGUCCAACAACUUUUCAGAAUACAGUGGCACAAAGACACGCUGCUGCAGUCCGAUCACAGCCGUUACCACCUGUGAGACUUCUCCCAUUAUUUUGCAGUGGAUCUGAGACAUCCUUCAGGCCUCUGCUUUGAGACCACAGUUCUGCC